Molecule: ribosomal RNA, 185 nt
Filed under: uncultured bacterium
Lineage: Bacteria
Description: partial 16S ribosomal RNA
Rfam family: Bacterial small subunit ribosomal RNA
Source: RNAcentral
CAUGAAGCUGGAAUCGCUAGUAAUCGCGGAUCAGAAUGCCGCGGUGAAUACGUUCCCGGGUCUUGUACACACCGCCCGUCACACCAUGGGAGGUCGGUAACGCCCGAAGUCAGUGACCCAACCCUAAAGGAGGGGAGCUGCCGAAGGCGGGACUGGUAACUGGGGUGAAGUCGUAACAAGGUAAC